This 491-nucleotide ribosomal RNA is filed under the name uncultured bacterium. Its description in RNAcentral is "partial 16S ribosomal RNA". It matches the Rfam family "Bacterial small subunit ribosomal RNA", at positions 28 to 507 of the family's 1533-position model. The record is from RNAcentral.
GAUGAACGCUAGCUACAGGCUUAACACAUGCAAGUCGAGGGGAAACGACAUUUAAGCUUGCUUCGAUGGUCGUCGACCGUCGCACGGGUGAGUUACGCGUAUCCAACCUGCCUCUGACCAAGGGAUAACCCGUCGAAAGUCUUCCUAAUACCUUUUGCAGUCGUCGUAAGUCUUCUGAUUACGUCGAAAGUUUUCUUCGGUGUGUGUUGGGUUUGCGUCUGAUUAGCUUGUUGGCUGCGUAACGGCCCACGAAGGCAACGAAUAGUAGGGGUUCUGAGAGGAAGGUACACGACAGUGGAACUGAGAAACGGACCAAACGCCGACGGGAGGCAGCAGUAGGGGAUAUUGGGCAAUGGGGGAGAGCAUGAAACAGCCAAGUAGCGUGCAGGAUGACGGCGAUAUGGGUUGUAAACUGCUUUGAGGAGGGGAUAAAGUGAGGGACGUGACCGAGAUUGAAGGUAACGAAUGAAUAAGGACCGGCUAAUUACGUG